AGACUCCAACCAGUCUGGUGGGCCCAGCCCCGGAGCGGGUCACACCCAACCUGAAGAGGACAGAGCCACAGAAAGGUUCGCCCAGGGCAAGGACCCAUGGCCUCUCCAUUCCUGGCCGCAGGGACCACCACGGGGGACAGCGGUGGGGAGCUGAGCUCGGGGGCGUCCGCGAGGUGGAUUAGUUGAAGUCCCGAGGCAGAGGCCUGCUGGAGCCUGACCGAGCUGUUGGAGAAUGUAGGGCUGAUUCGCGUGGCCACCAGGGAGCAGCUCGGCUACCUUUACGCCCAGUAAAAGCAGCAGAUCUGUAUGAAACUGAAUUUUCUUCAUAUACUUCAACCAAAGCAACAUAUUGCAGUAGAUUGAAUGCAGAAGUAGAUUUCUGAGACUAUAUUCAGGUCAUAGUUGGAAAUUACAAUACUCCUAAACCAAGCUUCUUUGCUUUUGAAGAAAGGCAAAAAUGGGAAGCAUGGAAAGGCUUUGGUGGUUCAAGCCCGAGCCAAGCAGUGCAGGAGUAUAUUGCAGCAGUUAAAAAGCUAGAUCCAGGCUGGACUCCUCAGGUGCCACGUUGACAACCUGGGCCAGUCCAUGGAAGACUCCCAUGCAAAUGUGUGUCAGAGCAAAGAGUACAUCACUACUACUGGAAGCAACUUAACAUCCCCAAAGUUCAAGACCCGUAAACUUCAUCAAGCCUUUACAAAGUUUGGCCUGAUACUGCAAACACUGUCCAGAAGGAAAUACAACUCACCCAGUGGUUUCUCUCCCUCCUGACAACAUAUGCAAAUGUAGAAACAGCCACUUACUCUUUCAACAUAGGAUAGCUUUUCCACUUUUAUCAAUUCAAGCUUUCUCCAGGCCCCUGUAAGAAUACAUCAGUACUUUGUAGCAGAUGAUGGUUCCAAAAAAAUAGUACCUACAAAGUGUCACUUUUGAACUGUGGCCCAGGGAUCUUCUGCUCCAGUUCCACAGUCAGACUCUCUAGUCCUGCUUUUUCCUUCUUCAUAACUUGGGGCUCUUCUCCUCACUGGGACAAUUUAGAGACACGCUGUUCUUAGUCUUGGAUGUGAUGUUUUAAUAGACUGAUCUCUUGCUCCCUCUUCUUGAGUUUGUCUUUGCCAUCCUCUACUUCUUGAAUGAGGCCAUUCACAGAAGAUUGCAAAAUAACGUAAUUACUUUUGGCCUGGUCAAGGCCUUGAAGCAACUGACACUUCUCAAGCUGAAGAUAAGCUAUUUGAGCACUCAGACACUGUUCUCUGGCCUUCCAGGUCCCCUGGUCAUCACUCAAGGCAGGCUGUUUCUCCUUUAGCUCUUUCAAUUGUGCUUGAAGCUUCUCCUCAACAAUUUUGGAUCCUUCUUUCAGUGUAAUGUUUUUCUGCUAUUGUUUUGCAACUGAUUUUCAAAUGAAGGUUUUAAUAUUUCUAAUUCAGAUACUCACCCUGUUCUUUAUGUAAAUCUUUUGUCAGAUUUUCUUUUUUUGACUAUAUGUUGCCAAGAUCUUUUUCCAGAUCUCUAAGACUUGAGGCUAUCUCCUCCAUUUUUGCUUUUAUCUUCUUUACCCCUGCUUUGGUGUUCUCUGCCUCCUGAGUCACAUGCUCAUGGGUUUUUUUGGACUUCUUUAGUUCUUUUUCAAGGUUCUCAACCCUAUCCCUGUACACAUCUGCGUGCUGCUUAGUUUCAUGCAGUUUUCCUAAGACUUGUAUCUGCUUCUUCUCAUCAUCAUCUAUUUGGACUUUCAGCAUUUUGAUGUUAUUUCUCACCUAGUGCACUCCCUGCAUUGGGAAGCCCAGGCUCUGUUCCUGGAUCUUCUUGGUUCCUGGGUCCUCACACAAAGCUGCCACCUCCUUCAUCAGCUCUUUCAAUUUUGUUUUAAGCAUUUUCCACUGCAGCUUUAGAUUCUUCUUGCAUCUGCCUAUUUUCUUCUUUGCUUCCAAGAGAUAUUUAAGUGAAGAGAGUAACAUGUCCAAUUCAGACACUUUACCCUGUUUGCCUUAUAGUUGCUGGGUCAGAUUUUCUUUUUCAGACAUAAUCGUGACAAGGUCCAAUUCUAAAACUUUCACGUGUUUGGUUAUUGAUCCUAUUGUGUUUUUAGGGUCUCCACCACUGCUUUAGAAUACUGGGCAUGAAGAAUCACCAUCUCUUGGAUUUUUCCAGCCAUCUGCAAUUGGCUUUCAAGUUUCUGAACUUUAUCCUGAAAUGAAUUAUUCUUACUCUCAUUUUCUUUCAGUUUCUCCAAGAUGUUCUUCUCAUCAGCCUACAUGCUGACCCUCAGUGUCUCCAUGGCAUUUCUCAGCUGAUGCUGCUCAUCUUGCACUGAGCUCAGCCUCACAGAGACCUUGCCCUUUUCCAUUCUUGCAGCCUGCAAUGCUUUAGUGACAGUCAUCUUUUCCUCUUCCGAUUCAUGUAACUUGUUCCACAGGCUUUUGGAUUCCCUCACAAGUGCUUCUCUCAUUAUUCAACUGUCCAAGUUUGUUUUUCAGUUCAUUUUCCCCCAAAGACAGUGCCUGUGAGUCCUUUUCCAAAUUCUGCAGCUGCUCCUGGAGGUGGACUUUUUCUUUUAACAGCUCUCUUACAGCAGAGGACAAAGUCUGGAGGAGCUGUGUCUUUUCCUUCAGCUCAGCUUCCACCAUGUCAAUGUGAUAAAGACACUCCUUGAUGAAACUCCAGCUCUCGUAUUUUCUCCUUCAUGUUUUUAGACAUCAGGUGCAUUAUUUUCCAUUGACAAAGCAUCUAACUCUCCAUGAAGCUGGUUUCUUUCACUUGUGACAACAGAGAAUUUUCCUAAAGACAAUUUAUGACUCCCUGCUUGUUUUCAUUGUCUUUUUCUAAAAGUAGCUUCUCUGAACUAUCGCUAAGUCAGUUUCCACAGAGUAGGAACAGUGCUCGAUGCUGCCUUUCUCAGACUUGAUCCUCUCCAGCUCAUUUUCCACAUUGAGAAAUUUUCUCUCUCCAAUUUUCAUUCAUUAUCUCAGCUACAUUAUCUUCAGUAACUUCAGGUGACAAUUUAGCUGUGCCAUUUCUAAACUAGAGUUUAUGCCUGCUGAAAUUUCACCUCUCUCGUGGAACUCUGGGUUAUCACAAGGAAAGCAUUCCAGUUUUCUCAUUAAAUCUGUCUUAUUCUUUCUAAAGUUCCUCAACUGUUUUUCCCCAAUUCUCUGCAUGUUUCAAUCUUGGUAGUUAGUUGUGCUUCCUGUAAAUUGGGUUUUGAGUCUAACUCUUUCAUUUCACUUAGCAAAAUUUCAACAUUUUUGUCACGUUCCUCUAUGGUGUGAAGUAAUCUCAAAUUCUCAUUUGAUGUCUCUUUUACCUUCAGUUAGAGAGUCUGAAUGGUUACCUGAGUCUCUAGAAAAUUCACAGGUACCAGAGCAUUAGGACCAGAAAGUGACGAUUCAAGAAUGCACCCUGCCAAGUCUUGGGCUUUUUCUUUCACUAGGGAAUCAGAACUGAUUUCUGGAGACUGCUCCUGAGAACCUUCUCCCACCAGCAUGACUGCCUCAGUCUUGGUCACUUUCUCCAUAUCUGGGCUGAGAUCUGCUGGACAUCUCUUUCACAGAUUGGAUGAAGAUCCUGCUUGGAUGUUCUGUCUUUGCUUUCCAAAGCAUUUUCUUCUGAUCUGUUUGUGUCACAGCUGUCACUUCUUCCCUGGAGAACCUGUGGCUGUAAUAUAUAAUGAGAAUGCAUUUCAAUAUUGAGGGAGAAUCAGGAAAGAUCCAAUAGGCUUAAUUCUUGCUUUGUAGACACUGGAUUCUUGCCUCUACUACACACAUCCUUUCCAAUGACAUAUUUCCUAUGACAUUCUCUCCUCUCCAUCCCAAUGUCAACACAGUUAAACAAACAUUCAGGGGGUAUCCUGUCUGGCCAAGGCAGUGGCAAAAGUGUUUGUCAUGAAGACAGACCCUCUAGUUGUAUGAUUGUCCACACUGGCAUGCACUUAAAUUUCAAUGUUUUUUUCUUUCUAGGAACAGUCCAGGUAGCCUAAAUAUAAGUUUUCCUUUGUGAUUAUCAGACAUGAUGCUAACCAAUUCCACAUAGAAUGCUCAGCCUCCAUGUUAGCAUUUCUGGUAUUCUUUAAUAGGAGACGGUAGUGAGGUGUUACGACUAGAUUGUCAGCCCAAGGACUUAAGCCUACAUUUACUAUCUGGAUUCUCAGAGAAACUGUAUGUCUGGACAUCACCUUCCUGUCCUCUGUCAAACAUGGGUCAGCUGCUGUGACUACCCCUACUGCCUCCUCUCUACUUGUCAUUUGCAUCAUACGAUGGCAGGUAGAGGGAAUGAAGCAAGACACUUCAACUCUGCAACAUUAGUACUUUAGCUGGUAGACUACAAGGACAAAGUCAUAAGUAACUCUUGGGGACUGCCCUGCCUGGUUUCAGGAACUGAAACCCACCAUGGCUAAGGCUGAAUGAGGGACUUUCGGACCAUAAGCCACUAAGGAGACAAAGCUUAUCUCCCUGGCAAGAGUGCCACUUCUUCUUUUUCCAUAACUGGCCUCCAAUGCUUUAAUCAGUUAGCCUGUGAUGGGUAAGAUUCCCCAAGGGGGAAAUCACCUAAGACAGGCAUGAUCAUGUGAAGGCCCCAGGGAAGUACUUAGAGGGCUAUGGAGGAAGGGAGUGAUGGACCCUUACCCCCCAGCUUUGAAGUCUGAGUCCUCUGUCUUCGAGGAAUCUCUGGGAAUUCUUUGGCUAUCUGCCUCCUCUGCCUGACUUAAGCCUGAAAACAAUGACAGAGGGUGGUGCAGCCUUGUGCUGGGAAUGGUGAGGUCCCUAGAUGAUCUGGCAUGAGAAAGAAUUCCUAACAAUCCUGUGAAGCCUGCUUUGCUUAGACUGCUUUUAGUUAAAUGAUAAAGGCCUGAGCAAAAAGUGAGUUUAUGUUCCCAAAGUUCUGUAGCCUUUUAGCUGAUAGACCCUAACUUAGGAGAAGCCCUAAUGGUUCUUUGUAUACUGUCUACUGUUUACUGCCUGACAAUGAUUGAUAAGUUGUGCCUGAACUCCUGUGCAAAAAAAAACAAAAACAAAAAAAAACAAUAAGAGACUGUCUAGGCAAGGGUCAGUGCUCUCUCUCCCUUUGAGAGAGUUGCCAGGUUGCUCCAAGCUGCUCUCCCCUUGAGUGGGUGACCAGGCCAUUCUGAGGUUCUCCCCCCUUGAGGGAGUGGCCAUGCCGUCCCUUUUCCUCCACAGGACUCAGUAGUCCCUGUGAAUUUGUCUCAUGUCUCAUCCAUGAUGCCACGGGCACUGUGAGCCAGUGCACGUCUCAAGCAACUAAGCAAUUUCACAUUCAAUAAAGAAAUAAAUGCCUUUUUAAACAACUGAUAUCAAAUCACAGAUUUGGAUCAGGGUAAAUGGUGAGGAAACAAUUUGGUAAUCUGUAAUAAACUCUUACAUUUGUUUCAUGGCUGUAACUCUGUAACAUUAAAAAUAGCUGGAAAGUUCUAGAGAUAUUAACAUUCACAUCACAUUCCCAUUCCUAAGCUCUAAUGGAAUAUGUAAGUGUGCUUUAUUAACUCACAAAGAAUAAAAACAUACAAUAUAGACUUCCUGAAGACAACUCUUCUGACUCCAUAAUAUAAUUUUG
This is a long non-coding RNA of Artibeus jamaicensis (Jamaican fruit-eating bat), 5565 nucleotides long. RefSeq lists it as uncharacterized. The record is from RefSeq and is a predicted model, not a curated record. NCBI's taxonomy places the organism in Eukaryota, Metazoa, Chordata, Mammalia, Chiroptera, Phyllostomidae. The transcript is spliced from 5 exons.